This 609-nucleotide long non-coding RNA is filed under the name Mus spretus (western wild mouse). RNAcentral describes it as "predicted gene, 36823 (ENSMSPG00010000728.1)". The record is from RNAcentral. Lineage: Eukaryota; Metazoa; Chordata; Mammalia; Rodentia; Muridae.
CCAGAACCCUAAUGGGAGAAGAAGGGCAAGUGUGGGCAAGUGUUGCCCUAGCUCUCCUGCCUGCAGCCAUUUCUCAAGCAACCUGGUUCUCAGGGAGACUUCAAGAACCAGUUUCUGGUCUUUGCUUGAAAAGGAAACCAGUCAUUCAAGGGUAAAUCAUAAGUACUAAAUGAAAAGCUCUGUGACUGUACACUAAAGACUUCAUCACAAGGUGACGUGUCAGACCUGAAGAGCAACUGAAAGUCACAGUGGAAUUCAGACUCAUCAUUGAUGACCAGGACAAGAAACCAAGAUCAAGGUGCAGCUGAGUAUAGGAGAAUCAUCAGGGACCAAACACCAGCAUGAGAACUCAUUCGAGUUUUGAAACAGAUUCUCACUGCUCUGGCCCUGAAUGCCUGCCUGCAGAGAUCUUCCUGCUUUGCCCUUCCAAGUAGCUAGGGUUAUAUAUAUAAGCUUGAAGCAGAAACAACAUUGAGAGUCCUGCUUACUGGCUUGCUCAGCUACCUUUCUUACCCAGCUUGGGUCUACAGGCCUAAGGAUGGUACUGCAAGGGGUAGGCUGGUCCUUCCUACAUCAAUUACCAACUGAGAAAAAGCCUCAGAGAUGUGG